ACGGGGGGGGGCAAGCGUUGUUCGGAAUUACUGGGCGUAAAGGGCUCGUAGGCGGCCAACUAAGUCGGACGUGAAAUCCCUCGGCUUAACCGGGGAACUGCGUCCGAUACUGGAUGGCUUGAGUUUGGGAGAGGGAUGCGGAAUUCCAGGUGUAGCGGUGAAAUGCGUAGAUAUUGGCUGGAACACCGGUGGCGAAGGCGGCAUCCUGGACCGGCAUUGACGCUGAGGCGCGAAAGCGUGGGGAGCAAACAGGA
This 254-nucleotide ribosomal RNA is filed under the name uncultured prokaryote. RNAcentral describes it as "partial 16S ribosomal RNA". It matches the Rfam family "Bacterial small subunit ribosomal RNA", at positions 525 to 777 of the family's 1533-position model. The record is from RNAcentral.